Molecule: RNA transcript, 6516 nt
Organism: Armigeres subalbatus
Lineage: Eukaryota; Metazoa; Arthropoda; Insecta; Diptera; Culicidae
Exons: 2
Source: RefSeq, a predicted model, not a curated record
GUCAGGCCGAUUGACACCUAGCGUAAGAAGUUACUGGCAGCACGGUACCUUGGCGAGCAAAGCGGAAGUAAAGAAACUGAAAUCGAUAUUUUCCUACUGGUAGCCAUUUUUAAAGUAAACGUGCAACCGUACAGAGCUAUAAUCAUACUUUAAUUAAGUUCGACCUGUAACCUUUUGUUCCGUUGUUCUAUAAUACUGAAAAAUGUAAGUUUGAAUUUCUUUGUUUUAAUCUAAAGCUAAUGUGACUAAAAUUCCAGCUUCAAGCUGCAUCGCAGUAAACAAAAAUAAAUGGCGAUCUGCUGAAAAGAUUCAGUGUUAGUUUUGUUAUUUCUCCCGGAACAAAACUUGAAGAUUUUUCAAUAUGCCCGCGGGAUCGAAGAAGGCUACCAAUGGACAGGCCAGCGAGGAGCAGAAUUGUGUGGCUUGUGAUCGACCGGACUCCUUCGAUGACUUGGUACAGUGUGAUGAAUGUAAUUCAUGGUGGCAUAUGCAAUGUGCCUCAGUUACGCCAUCCAUUUCCGAACGACCAUUUUCCUGCAACAACUGUCAAAAAUUCCAGUCAGCGGCCAGCGGUUCUCAUUCAACAUUUGCCAGUAGUCGGACCGCUAGAAUUGAGUUGCAGCUUAAACAGUUGGAAGAGCAGCGAGACAUCGAAAAACGCGAACUGGAAGCAGAAAAACGAUUUCUACGUGCAAAAUAUGAGCUACUGCAAUCGAAAUUGACCGAGGAAGACGACGACAGACGGAGUGACCGCAGCCGUUUGAGUCGGAAAACGAGUAUGCAACAAGUGAAACAGUGGCUAGCUAAUCCAGCGAAUCGAGCAGAAGGCGCCGAAGGUGAGCAUUCACGCGACCAGGCAGCGGCCUCGCCGAUGUUCCAAACAGUAGCUGCCCAUCAUCCAACACAUACACCGGUACGUUUUCAACAACCUGAGAGGACUUGGAAGCAGCAGCAAACCAGUCAUGUGAUUUCGAACACAGUUCCGACACAGCUGAAUCUACCUACUCAACUAGUCGUGUCACCAAGAAGCAAUGAUUUGGAAAAAGAUGAACCCAUUACUCUUCCACCAUCUCGGAUGGGUGGCGCAGUAAGUAACAGAGCAGCAUCUCCCUCCCCUGUUCAGCAAGGUAAGCCACUGUUUAAUCCAAUCAAAGCCAAUAUAUGCCAACCACAUUAUGAUCAGUCAUUCCAACAAAUGGUGACGCAAUUUGGAAAUGUCGGAUUUCAAAAUCCACGACAUAGUCCGCCAGUCGGCUUGAUUUCCCAAGAUCCUCCGAUGAGCGAAAAUUUAGUUCUCUCCCCCUCGCAGUUAGCCGCCAGGCAAGUUCUGCCCCGUGAUCUGCAACCCUUUCAUGGCGACCCUGCUGAGUGGCCGCUUUUUAUAAGUAGCUAUACUAACUCGACAAUUGCUUGUGGGUUCAACAAUGUCGAGAAUCUGGCCCGUUUACAACGCUGCUUAAAAGGAGCAGCUUAUGAAUCUGUUAAAAGUCGAUUACUUCUCCCAGAGUCAGUCCCUCAGGUGCUUCAAACUCUCCAACUGCUUUACGGCCGUCCAGAAUUAUUAAUUCACGUCCUUCUCGAUAAAGUUCGCUCUGUUCCUACUCCGAAACCAGAACGGUUAGACACCCUAAUUGAAUUUGGGCUGGCGGUCCAGAGUUUAUGCGACCAUCUCGUUGCAGCAAAACAAGAAGCGCAUUUGUCAAAUCCGUCCCUUCUCAUGGAGCUCGUUGAAAAACUUCCCGCCCACGUGAAACUGGAAUGGGCCGGAUUUAUGCAGCAGUGUCAAACAGUGAAUUUAAAAAUCUUCGGUGAGUUCAUGUCGAGUGUAGUGGUGUCUGCAAGUAAAGUGACCCUGUAUACCGGUGCAGUGAAGAACACCACGUUUGAUAAGUUAAAGCUGAAGUCUUCAAGAGGAUCACUCAACGCGCACAACAGUGAGAUGGUAUCAGAUCCGGAUCCGGAACGGGUAUGUCAUGUUUGCAAAGAACCUGGUCAUCGAGUCAGCGGAUGCGAAGUGUUUGGAUCUUUCUCCGUAGACGAACGCUGGAAGGCUGUACAAGCGAAUGGACUUUGCCGUAGUUGCUUAAAUGCUCACGGUCGAAGAAGCUGCCGGGGUGCAACUGUGUGUGGUAUAAACAAUUGUGAAUAUCGACAUCAUCGAAUGCUUCACGCGAAUAAAUUAUCACCCGCUGUUACUGAACCUGUCGUCGGCGAAAACCAUACCCACCUCCGAAUUAAACAACAACUGUUAUUCCGUAUUGUCCCAGUUACAUUAUAUGGUCCACGAGAAACAGUCGAGACGUAUGCAUUCCUCGACGAUGGGUCAUCCCUAACAUUGAUCGAAGAAAGUCUAGUGGAGCAACUUGGUGUGAGAGGUAGAAAUGAACCAUUGUGUCUCAGGUGGACAGGCAAUAUGUCCAGAGUGGAAUCUAACUCACAAGUCGUACAGCUGGAUAUCGCUGGUGUAGGAGGCAAAAGGUUUCAAGCUGAUGAAGUACAGACGGUCAAAGAGCUAGCACUUCCUCGACAAAGUAUCUCCUUUGAGAAGCUCGCGGAUCAGUUCCAGCACCUGAGAGGAAUUCCUGUUUGUAGUUACGAAAAUGCCGUACCUCGUUUAUUAGUGGGUGUUAAUAAUCUGCACUUGUCCAUUCCAUUGAAGACAAAGGAGGGAAAGAUCGGUGAACCCGUCGCAGUUAAAACCAGACUAGGCUGGUGUUUGUUCGGAGGAACAGGAGAUUCUAAAUCACCACAAUCACUGAAUGUGCAUUUGUGUGAUUGCCAAGAAAUGAAGACAGUGCACGAGACAGUGAAGAAUUAUUUCGCGUUAGAAGAAGUAGGAAUAACUCCCAUCAUAAAUGGAAUAGAAAGCCGUGAAGAAAAAAGAGCAAAGCAGAUUCUAAAAACGACAAUAAAACGUAUUGGUAAUAAAUUCGAAGUUGGAUUAUUGUGGAAGUUCGACCAUGCCGAAUAUCCAGAUACGUAUGGAAUGGCGUUGAGACGUCUUGAAUGUCUAGAGCGAAGGAUGUCUAAGGAUCCCCAGCUGCACGAGAACCUUCAUCGACAAAUAAGUGAAUAUCAAGCCAAAGGAUAUGCACAUCGUGCGAGUGAAAAGGAACUGAAAGAAAUGGACCCAAGGAAAGUAUGGUUUUUACCUCUGGGAAUUGUAGUCAACGCGCGGAAACCAGGUAAAAUCCGUAUCAUUUGGGAUGCGGCUGCAACUGUUGACGGCGUUUCCCUUAAUUCGUUUAUUCUGAAAGGACCCGAUCAAUUAACUGAACUACCUGCCGUAUUUGCUAGAUUUCGUCAAUUUUCCUUUGCUGUCGUAGCUGACUUGAAGGAAAUGUUUCACCAGAUCCUUUUACGGAGCAUCGAUAAACCUUCACACAGCUUUCUAUGGCGUUCGAAAUCUUCUGAUCCUCCUGAGGUAUACAUGAUGGACGUGAUUAUCUUCGGUUCGUCAUGCGCACCGGCUAUAGCGCAAUACGUUAAAAAUACGAAUGCCGAAACGUUUGCAGACCGAUACCCACGAGCAGUUACCAGUAUCAUCCAGAAUCAUUAUGUCGAUGAUUUCUUGGACAGUUUCGAGGACGAAAACGAAGCCGUAAAAGUAUCUGAGGAAGUGAAAAUGAUUCACGAACAAGGUGGAUUUGAAUUGCGAAAUUGGUUAUCAAAUAGCGAGGCCGUGUUGAGAAAAAUGGGAGAAGCGCAGGUUCACGGAGAAAAACUGUUGAUUGUUGAUAAAAAUGAUCAGUUUGAACGAGUGUUGGGUAUGUUAUGGUCCACGAGGUCUGACGUUAUUUGCUUUCCUGUAACAAUGAAAGAUGAGAUACAGCUAAUGCUGGACAGUGGAGAAAAACCGACAAAACGUAAGAUGUUGAAAUGUAUGAUGGCAUUCUUUGAUCCACUAGGACUAUUAAGCGUGUUUUCUAUUCACGGAAAAGUUCUGUUACAGGAUGCUUGGCGUGUUGGGUUGCAAUGGGAUGACGAAGUUUGCGAUAAGCUAGAAGAAGAAUGGCGUAUGUGGACAGACCUCUUUCCGUUUGUUAGAAAACUGACAAUACCGCGCUGCUAUUUUCCAAACGCAACGAUGAGAACAUAUCAGAAUCUUGAACUACACAUUUUCGUGGACGCAAGCGAAAAAGCAUACUCUGCUGUCGCAUAUUUUCGUGUGAUCGGUGCUGAGGGUGUUCCGGUUUGUGCCUUGGUCGCUGCGAAAGCAAAAGUUGCACCACUAAAACCGUUGUCGAUCCCUCGCAUGGAACUACAGGCAGCGGUUUUGGGAACCCGCCUUAAACGUUUCGUUGUGGACAGUCAUACUAUAAACAUCAAGCGAAGUGUCCUGUGGAGCGACUCAACUACAGUACUGGCGUGGAUUAGAGCAGACCAUCGUCGAUAUAAGCAGUAUGUUGCCUACAGGAUUGGCGAACUAUUAACAAGCUCUAAUACUGAAGACUGGCGAUGGGUACCGAGUGGAAUGAAUCCAGCUGAUGCAGCAACUAAAUGGGGAACAGGACCUCAUUUGAAAUUGAAAUCGGACAGUGAAUGGUUCGUUGGACCUGAUUUCUUGAGAAAGCCAGAGAGUGAAUGGCCUCAGCAACCUGGAGUAGUCCCUGUUACUUCGGAAGAGUUACGCCCCUGUUAUAUCCACCAUGGUUUCGUGAUUCCUAAGCCAGUUUUAGAAUUUGAUAGAUUCUCCAAAUGGAAGCGUAUGAUAAGAGCAUUGGGUUAUGUUCACCGAUUUAUCGAUAACCUGAAACGAAAGUGUAAAAAACAGAUCUUGCAGAAUGGCCAUCUGACGCAAUCAGAGUUGCAACGAGGCGAAUCAUCUUUAAUACGAAUGGUUCAAUGGACGGCGUAUCCAGAUGAAAUGGUCGUUUUACUCCAGAAUCAAUUACACCCUGAAAGAAAACCGGAAUCAAUACAGAAAGAUAGUAAGAUAUACAGACUCUCUCCGUUUCUAGAUGAAUGUGGUGUGCUUCGAAUCGAUGGAAGAAUAUCGGCUGCUCCUUCUGUACAGACGGAUGUCAAGUUCCCUGUGAUAAUGCCAAGAAAACAUCGGGCUACUCAGUUUUUAGUUGAAUCAUAUCAUGCUGCAUUUCGACACGGGAAUACCGAAACUGUGGUAAACGAAAUACGGCAACGUUACUACAUUUCGCAGUUGCGGACGGUUGCUAGAAGCGUUGCAAGGUUCUGCCAAUGGUGUAAAAUACAAAAAACCAAACCACAAAUCCCCAGGAUGGCACCACUGCCAUUGGCCCGCUUAUCGUCGUUCACAAGACCAUUCACAUAUGUGGGUCUUGAUUUCUUUGGACCAUUCCUGGUAAAAGUUGGAAGGAGUAAUGUCAAGCGUUGGAUUGCACUCUUCACAUGCCUCACCGUGCGUGCAGUGCAUGUGGAGGUUGCUUAUGAUUUAUCAACUGAGUCGUGCAUCAAGUGUGUGCGGCGAUUUAUCAGUCGUCGUGGUGCUCCCUGUGAAAUUUAUUCAGAUAAUGGGACCAAUUUUCAAGGAGCAGAACGAUUGCUUAGAGAUCAAAUGGAACGCGUGAAUGGAGAUCUGGCGGCGUGUUUCACAAGUGCAGCUACAAAGUGGCUGUUCAUUCCUCCCGGUACCCCACACAUGGGUGGUGCCUGGGAGAGAAUGGUGCGAGCAGUUAAAUCAGCGAUGGCUUCGGCGUAUACUGACCCUAAGUUGGACGAUGAAGGGCUUCAAACGAUGGUGGUUGAAGCCGAAUGGAUAGUAAACAGUAGACCCCUUACAUAUUUACCACUUGAUUCGGAAGAAAGUGAAGCGUUAACUCCCAAUCAUUUUUUGUUGGGUAGCUCUACCGGAAGCCGAAAUCCUGGAAGGAACCCAGCUGAAUUUGGCGGCGCACUGAAAGGUUCAUGGAAUGAGAUACAGCGGAAGCUAGAAUUAUUCUGGACACGGUGGUUGAAAGAAUAUCUGCCAACACUAACAAGACGUGAGAAGUGGUUCGAAGAAGUUAAGCCAAUAAAGGAAGGAGAUUUAGUUUUUGUUCUGGACGGCUCAACAAGAGGGCGCUGGGAAAGAGGGCGUAUACUGGAAGUAAUAAGAAGUGGGGACGGCCGUAUUAGACAAGCAUUGGUCCAAACUGCGAGGGGUUUGUUGAGAAGGUCGGUGUCUAAAUUGGCUGUUUUGGAUGUGGCUGAAGGAGGUAAAACUGGUCCAAUAGACAAGUGUUACGGGGGGGAUGAUGUCGGAAACUGGCAGCACGGAGCAGUCAGGCCGAUUGACACCUAGCGUAAGAAGUUACUGGCAGCACGGUACCUUGGCGAGCAAAGCGGAAGUAAAGAAACUGAAAUCGAUAUUUUCCUACUGGUAGCCAUUUUUAAAGUAAACGUGCAACCGUACAGAGCUAUAAUCAUACUUUAAUUAAGUUCGACCUGUAACCUUUUGUUCCGUUGUUCUAUAAUACUGAAAAAUCUUCAAGCUGCAUCGCAGUAAACAAAAAUAAAUGGCGAUCUGCUGAAAAGAUUCAGUGUUAGUUUUGUUAUUUC